Dermacentor andersoni is the source of this 3811-nucleotide non-coding RNA. NCBI's taxonomy places the organism in Eukaryota, Metazoa, Arthropoda, Arachnida, Ixodida, Ixodidae. The record is from RefSeq and is a predicted model, not a curated record.
UGUUUUGUUACUGUAGAGGGAGGCAUGCCACUGGGCAUGCUUUUUACACGUGCUUCCCCUAUUCUAUCCACAUUCUGUGUCAGUCCCCUGGUACGCAGUUGUGGAUAGUUGUAGCUGUGAUUGCACCGUAUUGAACUGUGUCACCCGCCGGGUUGCAGCCGUUGGUGAAAGCUUUCGACGCCAUUCCCAACACGGUCUAAGGCUGGGCAUCACAAAGGCUGGGCAUCACAGUACACCUGGGCCACUCCUGCAGCAUACGCGGUGCCGAAAUCCCAGCUGGGCAGUGUUUCCUGCGAUCUUAACCUGGAUGACAGCAUAACGACGCACUGAGAAUGCAACGCGGAGGCGUCGACUGCGCCGGUCGGUGCACAUUGCAUGGAAUAUUCCCAGGACGGUCGUGCAGCGUCUGCUGUAAACCUUGAAUGCUCCAGCACUAAUGUGUGCCAAUGCGACUUUCCCGGAAAUGUCGGUUUGGUAGAGCCUAACAAAGAUGCACAAGAGCAAGCCUCAGAAAAAAAGGACUUCAGCCAGCCAGACAUGCAACACGAAGAUUCUGGACAAGGGGAGGACAGCAGCCUGCCAGUUGCUCAAGACGAAGAAUCUGGACAAGGGGAGGACUCGAGCCAGCCAUAUGCACAAGAGGCAGACUUGGAGAUAGAAGUUCCCUGUUUUUUUAAUUCUGCCUGCGGUGUGCUGGUGAACUGUUUGGUGAAAUUGUUCAAGACAAUGUUGCAGUCUCAAAAGGUGAUAUUCUACUCAUGGUCUUAAAAUUUGCUGUCCAGCACAGCUUGACAUUUUCAGCACUAAUGGAUUUGGUUGAAAUGAUUAACUUGUUUUUUGAAAGGCCAGUUCUUGCCCAUUCUCAGCACAUGCUUAAGAAAAUAAUUGAAGGAUCUGGCACGCCAAUGAGUUUCCACUUCUUUUGUCCAGAAUGUUCCUUGUACAUAGGUUGCGUUGAUCCAAGUUCACCCUUUCAGUGCUCGCGAUGCAACCGCAACAUAUGUUUUUCAUCAGUCAACAAUGUAUAUUUUUUUGUACUUUUUGACAUACCUUCGCAACUCCAAAAGACACUGAAGGAAUGCGACUUCUUAGACCUGACAGAGCCUCUUGAAGCAAAAGAGUUUUUCAGAUAUUUGUGAUGGAGACCUGUACUAUGCUUUUGUGGCCUCGAAAGCAAAUGCCGGGCAUAGAAUUAGUUUUAUGUUAAAUGCAGAUGGUGCACCCCUUUUUAAAUCAAGUGGUACUGCAAGUUGGCCAAUUCAGUUGCUUGUAAAUGAACUGCCAGUCACACAAAGAAUGCAAAAAGUGAUUUUGGCUGCCUUGUGGUUUGGCAAGAAAAAGCCUGACAUGGUGCUCUUUCAGGACGCAUUUGUUGAUUCUGUAAAUGACCUUUCGGAGAAAGGAUUGAAUCUUGAGCACAAUGGCAGUACAAAAAAUUUCAAGGCCUUCUGCAUUUGUUGCGCUGUAGAUUCAGUCGCCAGGGCACCAAUGCAGGGUGUAAUGCAGUUUAAUGCAUAUCACGGAUGCAAUUAGUGCCUUCAAAAGGGCGAGAGUUCUACGUUCCACAAAGUACCUAGUACAACAAACAGUACAGGUAAGAACAGAGCUGCAAAUGAUGCAGGAUGUGCGAGAAGCUGUUGCUUGAGGCAGGUCCGUAAAUGGUGUCAGAACUGUGUCGCCACUGAUCAGGUUGGAGCACUUUAAUAUAGUGUGGGGGUUCGUCCCUGGCUAUAUGCAUUGCAUAUUGCUUGGUGUUGCAAGGCAGUUCAUGGAACUGUGGUUAGAUGAUACUAUUCAAGUUUUAUAUGGGAGCACACCAAGAUGUCAUUGACACAAGAAUAAUGGCAAUCACUCCUCCUGCAAAUGUGAAAAGAAUGCCAAGGCCAACAAGAGAACGCAAAUUCUGGAAAGCAAAGGAAUGGGAGAAUUGGCUCCUGUAUUAUAGCUUGCCAGUUUUAGAGGGCAUAGCUGAUCGCUCAUGCAUACAACAUUGGGCCUGCCUGGUGGAAGCAUUGCAUAUAUUGCUGCAAAAAGAAGUCGCGUCGUCACAGCUUACUCUUUGCGAAGAACUCUUACUAGAGUUUCAUGUUCGAGCUGAGCUGUUGUAUGGUAAAAGUUCCAUGACCUUUAACAUGCACCAACUAACUCAUAUUGGAAAGAGUGUGCACCAGUGGGGUCCUCUUUGGGCACACUCUGCAUUUCCAUUUGAAGAGAGUAACGGUUGCCUAAAAAAGGCAGUGAAGUCAGCAAAUGGGAUCCCACACGAAAUCUGUCGUAUGCUGCAAAUGGAGGAAACUAUUGAGGUUCUAUUGGCCACAGCUGCUGAACCAAGAGUUCUUGCUUACUGCAACUCGCUGGAUGCCAAGGAAACCCAGAACACUCUCAAAGUGAUGGGAGAUGUCAGUUUGUUUUGAAGGGGUGUCCCAUUCUCUGUAUCAGGGAGGCUGUCUAAAGGUGCUAGUGAACUUGCCAACAGUGUGCAGUAUCCCUGAAUGCUUAAGGGAGGUGUUGUUUUCACUGGGAGAGAGUAUUCUGCAGGAAAAAGAACUAAUAGUUCUCUAGUACAACUUAUUGAUAAUACCUAUGCAAUUAUUGAGAACAUAAUUUGCAAAAAACAAUCAGAAGCUUUUGUUAUUGUUAAGCCCUUGAAGUGCAAGCCCUUGAAGUACAGUCUAGUGACAAUGCAACACAUGUUAAAGGCUGUAGAAGAACUAUCAAUGGAGAUCAUAAUUCCAGCUACAAAGAUUGUGACUGUUUGUGUCUUUUUAAAGACAAGGAAAUACCUACAUCUCGCUAGUACCAAGCUCAUUUACAAUGUAGCCAAUAUGGUAAAAAGUUGCAAUUGUGUGCCUCACUAUGUCAUUUAUUAGCGAUAGUAUUGGUUUUCAGUUUCAACUGCAGAUUUUUUUUACUGUGCCCCAGGUUGCAGAAAAGUGCCUGUUACUGCACAAAUGUUGGGCACAUGCUGGACACCGUAAUUAAUGUCUUUGGAUUAGUUCUGACAGCCUUUUUCCACCUCUUUGGGCACUGCAUGUCAGUACUAUAAACUUUUUCCUCAGCAUAAUAAUGCUCACUUUAAUAAACCCAGUUGGCCAAUUUUGCAGUGCGAAAUAUAGAAUAUUAUAAAUGUAGAUAUUAUAAAAAGAGUAAGUGGUUAAAAUUUUAUAAUUUAAAUGAAUGAGAUAACUGUUAUGGUUAUCUUGGCAUUAUAUGUUUAUGAUUUUAGUAACGCUACAAACCAUGAGAAAUUUUUUGAAUCUGAAGAAAACCUGUUUACAGAGCUGUAUGAAACAAUUUGCACCCAGGCACAAUAUUUUGAGAAAUGUUUCUUGCAAUUGCUAUCUAAUAUGAAAAAAAAGCUUGUGAUGUGAGAAUAUGAAAUUUUUCCGGAACAAGUAAGCCAUUGCUAGCUACACUUUUAGUAAAAUCUGAGUUCAUUGUGCACUCACACACUCCUGAAGGGACGCGAAAUUAUAGUAUGAGGGUAAUUUUGGCUUUUGCUUGUUGCACAGUAGGGAUGUAUGAUGUGUUCAUCAGCUUCAUUUGGAAAUAUUUACUUUUGCAGCUUUCUUGUAUAGCCUUCAUAUUCUAUUCUCUUCGUUUAGCAUUAUGUAAAGUAGUCUAUAUAGCCGAUCGGGGGACACAUUUUGUGUGUAAGACUCGUGAAACUGUUUUGCCUUAUAGCCGAUUGGGGCGCACAUUUUGUGUGUAACACUCGUGAAACUGUUUGCUUUUAGGCAUCAUGCUCAUUUGUGAAAUUAGUGUUCUUAUUGGAUUUCGUGUUUCUGAUAAAUAUGAGUUUCAUUUCUUA